RNAcentral lists this transfer RNA (94 nucleotides) under Colletotrichum fructicola Nara gc5. RNAcentral describes it as "tRNA-Tyr for anticodon GUA". Lineage: Eukaryota; Fungi; Ascomycota; Sordariomycetes; Glomerellales; Glomerellaceae. RNAcentral also lists the same sequence under 2 other names. The record is from RNAcentral.
CUCCCCUUGGUGUAGUUGGUUCAUCACGUUCGACUGUAAUGGUGUUGUAUCCACAUCCAUCGAAAGGUCUCUAGUUCGAUUCUGGAAGGGGAGA